This 514-nucleotide ribosomal RNA is filed under the name uncultured bacterium. RNAcentral's name for it is "partial 16S ribosomal RNA". It matches the Rfam family "Bacterial small subunit ribosomal RNA", at positions 28 to 523 of the family's 1533-position model. The record is from RNAcentral.
GAUGAACGCUGGCGGCGUGCCUAAUACAUGCAAGUCGGGCGAACAGAAGAGAAGCUUGCUUCUCUGAUGUUAGCGGCGGACGGGUGAGUAACACGUGGGUAACCUACCUAUAAGACUGGGAUAACUCCGGGAAACCGGGGCUAAUACCGGAUAAUAUUUUGAACCGCAUGGUUCAAUAGUGAAAGACGGUUUCGGCUGUCACUUAUAGAUGGACCCGCGCCGUAUUAGCUAGUUGGUAAGGUAACGGCUUACCAAGGCGACGAUACGGAGCCGACCUGAGAGGGUGAUCGGCCACACUGGAACUGAGACACGGUCCAGACUCCUACGGGAGGCAGCAGUAGGGAAUCUUCCGCAAUGGGCGAAAGCCUGACGGAGCAACGCCGCGUGAGUGAUGAAGGUCUUCGGAUCGUAAAACUCUGUUGUUAGGGAAGAACAAAUUUGUUAGUAACUGAACAAGUCUUGACGGUACCUAACCAGAAAGCCACGGCUAACUACGUGCCAGCCGCCGCCGUAA